This is a long non-coding RNA of Oncorhynchus tshawytscha (Chinook salmon), 1134 nucleotides long. The record is from Ensembl. Lineage: Eukaryota; Metazoa; Chordata; Actinopteri; Salmoniformes; Salmonidae.
UAUCUCAUGAAUUGUGGAUGUGUAUGGAUAUAAAUCCAUGGAGUCCCAAACAGCACCGUUUGGGAAGCAGUCCAUAUUGUCCUAUAAAGUCUUAGAAUGACCGGAUCCUCUGUUGUCUAGAGGUGAAGGUCUCUCUACCUACAUUCGUCUUCUUGCUUUGACCAACACAUGAUUCUAGAGCUGUAGGUCUCUCUACCUACAUUCGUCUUCUUGCUUUGACCAACACAUGAUUCUAGAGCUGUAGGUCUCUCUUCCUACAUUCGUCUUCUUGCUUUGACCAACACCUGUUCCAGGUUAAACCAGGUAUAGUGGAGAGUGACAGAGUUCCAGGGUAACCAGGUAUAGUGGAGAGUUCCAGGUAUAGUAGAGAGUUCCAGGUUAAACCAGGUAUAGUGGAGAGUUCCAGGUUAAACCAGGUAUAGUGGAGAGUGACAGAGUUCCAGGGUAAACCAGGUAUAGUAGAGAGUUCCAGGUUAAACCAGGUAUAGUAGAGAGUUCCAGGUUAAACCAGGUAUAGUGGAGAGUUCCAGGUUAAACCAGGUAUAGUGGAGAGUGACAGAGUUCCAGGUUAAACCAGGUAUAGUAGAGAGUGACAGAGUUCCAGGUUAAACCAGGUAUAGUGGAGAGUUCCAGGUUAAACCAGGUAUAGUGGAGAGUUCCAGGGUAAACCAGGUAUAGUAGAGUGACAGAGUUCCAGGUUAAACCAGGUAUAGUGGAGAGUUCCAGGUUAAACCAGGUAUAGUGGAGAAUUCCAGGUUAAACCAGGUAUAGUGGAGAGUUCCAGGGUAAACCAGGUAUAGUGGAGAGUGACAGAGUUCCAGGGUAAACCAGGUAUAGUAGAGAGUGACAGAGUUCCAGGGUAAACCAGGUAUAGUAGAGAGUUCCAGGGCAAACCAGGUAUAGUAGAGAGUUCCAGGUUAAACCAGGUAUAGUGGAGAGUUCCAGGGUAAACCAGGUAUAGUAGAGAGUUCCAGGUUAAACCAGGUAUAGUGGAGAGUUCCAGGGUAAACCAGGUAUAGUGGAGAGUUCCAGGUUAAACCAGGUAUAGUGGAGAGUUCCAGGUUAAACCAGGUAUAGUGGAGAGUUCCAGGGUAAACCAGGUAUAGUGGAGAGUUCCAGGGUAAACCAGGUAUA